Long non-coding RNA from Sander lucioperca (pikeperch), 79 nucleotides. RefSeq lists it as uncharacterized. The record is from RefSeq and is a predicted model, not a curated record. Lineage: Eukaryota; Metazoa; Chordata; Actinopteri; Perciformes; Percidae. The transcript has 3 exons.
CCUUAUUCCUUUUGAAUUCUCCUUCACACCUUUCCUUGACCUCAUGACGUUUACCAUCGAGGUUUUGACUAUUCAACAG